Molecule: non-coding RNA, 148 nt
Filed under: Gorilla gorilla gorilla (western lowland gorilla)
Lineage: Eukaryota; Metazoa; Chordata; Mammalia; Primates; Hominidae
Source: Rfam by way of RNAcentral
GCCGGGCAUGGUGGCGCGAGCCUGUAAUCCCAGCUACUCAGGAGGCUGAGGCAGGAGAAUCACUUGAACCCGGGAGGUGGAGGUUGCAGUGAGCCAAGAUCGCACCACUGCACUCCAGCCUGGGUGACAGAGUGAGACUCUGUCUCAA